RNAcentral lists this ribosomal RNA (492 nucleotides) under uncultured bacterium. RNAcentral describes it as "partial 16S ribosomal RNA". It matches the Rfam family "Bacterial small subunit ribosomal RNA", at positions 29 to 507 of the family's 1533-position model. The record is from RNAcentral.
AGUGAACGCUGGCGGUAGGCCUAACACAUGCAAGUCGAACGGCAGCACAGUAAGAGCUUGCUCUUACGGGUGGCGAGUGGCGGACGGGUGAGGAAUACAUCGGAAUCUACUUUUUCGUGGGGGAUAACGUAGGGAAACUUACGCUAAUACCGCAUACGACCUACGGGUGAAAGCAGGGGAUCUUCGGACCUUGCGCGAUUGAAUGAGCCGAUGUCGGAUUAGCUAGUUGGCGGGGUAAAGGCCCACCAAGGCGACAAUCCGUAGCUGGUCUGAGAGGAUGGUCAGCCACACUGGAACUGAGACACGGUCCAGACUCCUACGGGAGGCAGCAGUGGGGAAUAUUGGACAAUGGGCGCAAGCCUGAUCCAGCCAUACCGCGUGGGUGAAGAAGGCCUUCGGGUUGUAAAGCCCUUUUGUUGGGAAAGAAAAGCAGCAGGUUAAUACCCCGCUGUUCUGACGGUACCCAAAGAAUAAGCACCGGCUAACUUCGUG